CAAGACGGGGAAUGUAAUUCACAUCGACACACUUUGGCAGUUUUGUGUUAGAGAUUAUUUGGUGAUUUCUCCUAAUCCAUGACAAAUGAGUAUAUGGUAACCAGAGCGAUCUGAAAAGGGUUUUAUUGAAUUUAUAUGCGUAUUUAUUCUGGCCAAAUAGUAUAAACAUAAACCCACAAUAAAACAAUUAGAUAUAGGCAGAUUUCUGUAAUUAUUCUUUUCAUACACUAUCCUUAACUGAAGUAUUUAAUCUACAAUAAAUGUUAAACACUAACAAAUGCUGCAAACACACAUAAACUGAAUAGAAAUGCUUGUAACUUUUUGUGUUUUAUGUUCCCUAACAAAACAUCAAAACUAAAUUUACUUAAACUCUUUAUUUUUGGGGAAGAAACACUGAAUAAUUCUGUGCUGUUCGAGACAUAUUUUGCAACAAAGUCUUAGAUCACUCACAGUAUAAUUAAGCUAUGAAAUCCAUUAGAAAUGCUAAGUAUAAUUUAAUUGGGAAUGUUUUGAUUUAAAAUUCCUUUGAAUAAUGUAGGCUAAUCCUUACAGAAAGAGAGGAACGGAGAUCAAUCUGUUUUUUUCUGUUUUUUAAGGAACACAUGCAAAAGCUUGGAAAAUACAACAUGGGCUAAAUGAAGUUACUGGAAUGCUAAGUAUCACUUUAUCAGGGAUAUUUAGUUUAAAAUAUAUAUGAAUAAUCUGAACUAUAGUACAUUGUUGUAGAGAGCAAAGAUUAAUUAGUAUUUUCUGGUUUUUUGGGCACAUAGAAACUUGCACAUAUAACACAGUAGAUUUUACAUGCAUGUGUUUUGAUUUGGUCAUGGUGAUCCAUAGAUUUAAUUACAGCCCUUCCAAUGUAAUUCCCAACACAUCUUGUUUGCUUUAGUGGCUCUUUUUCUUGACUGCCUUUUCAUUAAUUUUAUUCUCCACCUCUGUGUGUUACAGCACAGAAAGGACAUCUUUGAACAGUGAAGGCAAGCCACAGGCCAGAUUUCUGCAGGGAUUUUUGAAGAGGAAAGGGCAAAAAUCAAAAAGCAUUGAAAACACUAUUUGACUGAUAGACUGUUUUUAACUAACCCAUGAUGAUGAUGGUGAACUGGAAUGAAGAAUGAGAAACAAUACUGAACUGUCAGCGUCCGUGUCUAUGAGACUGGUGAGAACAGCUCUUCUUAUCUGUUAAAAUUGGUGGAUCUGGCAAAACAAAAACUGAAACAAAGGCUCUCCCAAAUCCCAUCCCAACAACCUGUCAGUGCUCCCUGGAGCAGCAUUCUGACCCUGCACUUGAAUCACUCUGCUGGGAUGUUUUCUGCUCAGCGCUGGGGCCAGUUUUGCUUCCUGAACUUCAAGGGUGACAUCCUAGUUACACAGAAAAAAAAAUGGCUUUGUUGUGAAUCCUACCAGUGUGGAGGCAGGCAAAGGCCUAAGCACACGGAUCCUCCUGUGCCACUGCUGCUGGGGACACCAACACACUGCAGAGUCAUCCCACCACUGCUGGCCCUUUGGAUGGACCUGCUACGUUAUGUGACAUGGAUCGUUUCCAGUCAGCCUUGUAUUGAAAUCUGUCAUUGCCAAAGUUUAGAAAAUCAACUUAAAACCAACUUGGAAGACUUCUGCCCAGACCCUUUGCUUUUACAUGCCACGAGUCGGCUCUCUGCUCCCAGGUCCACGUUGCUGUAAGGAAUCAAAGUCCAAAGAAGGCACUACAUAUUUUUCUGGAAUUUAGAAACAAGAUCCCUAUGGUCUGCUGGUAAAAUGUAGACACUGUAGUGAGAGUAAUGAAAUGUCCAAGAUCUUGAAUAAGCAUGGGAUGGAAACUGGGAGUCAGUGGAGCAUAAGGAGCCCAGGUGUGAUGUGCUUAGGGGUAGGACUGCUGAGAAG
Neopelma chrysocephalum (saffron-crested tyrant-manakin) is the source of this 1881-nucleotide long non-coding RNA. RefSeq lists it as uncharacterized. The transcript is spliced from 6 exons. Lineage: Eukaryota; Metazoa; Chordata; Aves; Passeriformes; Pipridae. The record is from RefSeq and is a predicted model, not a curated record.